This 469-nucleotide ribosomal RNA is filed under the name uncultured bacterium. RNAcentral's name for it is "partial 16S ribosomal RNA". It matches the Rfam family "Bacterial small subunit ribosomal RNA", at positions 28 to 507 of the family's 1533-position model. The record is from RNAcentral.
GACGAACGCUGGCGGCGUGCUUAACACAUGCAAGUCGAACGGAAAGGCCCUGCUUGCAGGGUGCUCGAGUGGCGAACGGGUGAGUAACACGUGGGUGAUCUGCCCCUUACUUUGGGAUAAGCCUGGGAAACUGGGUCUAAUACUGGAUAGGACCAUGCUGUAGGUGGUGUGGUGGAAAGAUUAGUUUCGGUAAGGGAUGAGCUCGCGGCCUAUCAGCUUGUUGGUGGGGUAAUGGCCUACCAAGGCGUCGACGGGUAGCCGGCCUGAGAGGGUGGACGGCCACAUUGGGACUGAGAUACGGCCCAGACUCCUACGGGAGGCAGCAGUGGGGAAUAUGGCACAAUGGGCGCAAGCCUGAUGCAGCGACGCCGCGUGGGGGAUGACGGCCUUCGGGUUGUAAACUCCUUUCAGCCAUGACGAAGCCCUUGUGGUGACGGUAGUGGUAGAAGAAGCACCGGCUAACUACGUG